UACGGAGGGUGCGAGCGUUGUCCGGAAUCAUUGGGCGUAAAGGGCGCGUAGGUGGCCUGCUAAGCGUGCGGUGAAAGCUCGGGGCUCAACCCCGAGUCGGCCGUGCGAACUGGUGGGCUUGAGCACUGUAGAGGCAGGCGGAAUUCCGGGUGUAACGGUGGAAUGCGUAGAGAUCCGGAAGAACACCGGUGGCGAAGGCGGCCUGCUGGGCAGUAGCUGACACUGAGGCGCGACAGCGUGGGGAGCAAACAGG
This 253-nucleotide ribosomal RNA is filed under the name uncultured bacterium. RNAcentral's name for it is "partial 16S ribosomal RNA". It matches the Rfam family "Bacterial small subunit ribosomal RNA", at positions 524 to 776 of the family's 1533-position model. The record is from RNAcentral.